This 385-nucleotide ribosomal RNA is filed under the name uncultured bacterium. RNAcentral describes it as "bacterial SSU rRNA". It matches the Rfam family "Bacterial small subunit ribosomal RNA", at positions 29 to 414 of the family's 1533-position model. The record is from RNAcentral.
AUUGAACGCUGGCGGCAUGCCUUACACAUGCAAGUCGAACGGUAACGCGGGGGCAACCCUGGCGACGAGUGGCGAACGGGUGAGUAAUACAUCGGAACGUACCCAGUAGUGGGGGAUAGCUCGGCGAAAGCCGGAUUAAUACCGCAUACGACCUAUGGGUGAAAGCGGGGGAUCGCAAGACCUCGCGCUAUUGGAGCGGCCGAUGUCGGAUUAGCUAGUUGGUGAGGUAAAGGCUCACCGAAGGCUACGAUCCGUAGCUGGUCUGAGAGGACGACCAGCCACACUGGGACUGAGACACGGCCCAGACUCCUACGGGAGGCAGCAGUGGGGAAUUUUGGACAAUGGGCGCAAGCCUGAUCCAGCCAUGCCGCGUGUGUGAAGAAGG